AGUGAACGCUGGCGGUAGGCCUAACACAUGCAAGUCGAACGGCAGCACAGUAAGAGCUUGCUCUUACGGGUGGCGAGUGGCGGACGGGUGAGGAAUACAUCGGAAUCUACUUUUUCGUGGGGGAUAACGUAGGGAAACUUACGCUAAUACCGCAUACGACCUACGGGUGAAAGCAGGGGAUCUUCGGACCUUGCGCGAUUGAAUGAGCCGAUGUCGGAUUAGCUAGUUGGCGGGGUAAAGGCCCACCAAGGCGACGAUCCGUAGCUGGUCUGAGAGGAUGAUCCGCCACACUGGAACUGAGCCACGGUCCAGCCUCCUACGGGAGGCAGCAGUGGGGAAUAUUGGACAAUGGGCGCAAGCCUGAUCCAGCCAUACCGCGUGGGUGAAGAAGGCCUUCGGGUUGUAAAGCCCUUUUGUUGGGAAAGAAAAGCAGCAGGUUAAUACCCCGCUGUUCUGACGGUACCCAAAGAAUAAGCACCGGCUAACUUCGUG
This 492-nucleotide ribosomal RNA is filed under the name uncultured bacterium. Its description in RNAcentral is "partial 16S ribosomal RNA". It matches the Rfam family "Bacterial small subunit ribosomal RNA", at positions 29 to 507 of the family's 1533-position model. The record is from RNAcentral.